RNAcentral lists this unclassified non-coding RNA (337 nucleotides) under soil metagenome. RNAcentral describes it as "partial contains 5.8S ribosomal RNA, internal transcribed spacer 2, and large subunit ribosomal RNA". The stretch from base 1 to 120 matches the Rfam family "5.8S ribosomal RNA", at positions 35 to 154 of the family's 154-position model. The record is from RNAcentral.
GAUGAAGAACGCAGCGAAAUGCGAUAAGUAGUGUGAAUUGCAGAAUUCAGUGAAUCAUCGAAUCUUUGAACGCACAUUGCGCCCCUUGUUAUUCCAUGGGGCAUGCCUGUUCGAGCGUCAUUUGUACCUUCAAGCUCUGCUUGGUGUUGGGUGUUUGUCUCGCCUCUGCGUGUAGACUCGCCUCAAAACAAUUGGCAGCCGGCGUAUUGAUUUCGGAGCGCAGUACAUCUCGCGCUUUGCACUCAUAACGACGACGUCCAAAAGUACAUUUUUACACUCUUGACCUCGGAUCAGGUAGGGAUACCCGCUGAACUUAAGCAUAUCAAUAAGCGGAGGA